Molecule: unclassified non-coding RNA, 378 nt
Filed under: plant metagenome
Description: partial contains 5.8S ribosomal RNA, internal transcribed spacer 2, and large subunit ribosomal RNA
Rfam family: 5.8S ribosomal RNA (bases 1-105)
Source: RNAcentral
GAAAUGCGAUAAGUAAUGUGAAUUGCAGAAUUCAGUGAAUCAUCGAAUCUUUGAACGCAGCUUGCGCUCCUUGGUAUUCCUUGGAGCAUGCCUGUUUGAGUAUCAUGAAAUCUUCAAAGUAAAUCUUUUGUUAACUCAAUUGGUUUCUACUUCGGUAUUGGAGGUCUUUGCAGCUUCACACCUGCUCCUCUUUGUUCAUUAGCUGGAUCUCAGUGUUAUGCUUGGUUCCACUCGGCGUGAUAAGUUAUCUAUCGCUGAGGACACUGUAAAAGGUGGCCAAGGUAAAUGCAGAUGAACCGCUUCUAAUAGUCCAUUGACUUGGACAAUACUUUUAUGAUCUGAUCUCAAAUCAGGUAGGACUACCCGCUGAACUUAAGC